UAUUAAUUGUUACUUUGGCAGAAUAGUGCUUUAAAUUUAGAAUUUAAAUAUGUAUUUUAUACAGGUAAUA
Molecule: transfer RNA, 70 nt
Filed under: Choleva angustata
Lineage: Eukaryota; Metazoa; Arthropoda; Insecta; Coleoptera; Leiodidae
Also listed under: 3 other names
Description: tRNA-Leu
Source: RNAcentral